AUUGAACGCUGGCGGCAGGCCUAACACAUGCAAGUCGAGCGGUAACAGAAAGAAAGCUUGCUUUCUUUGCUGACGAGCGGCGGACGGGUGAGUAAUGCCUAGGAAAUUGCCCUGAUGUGGGGGAUAACCAUUGGAAACGAUGGCUAAUACCGCAUAAUCUCUUCGGAGCAAAGAGGGGGACCUUCGGGCCUCUCGCGUCAGGAUAUGCCUAGGUGGGAUUAGCUAGUUGGUGAGGUAAUGGCUCACCAAGGCGACGAUCCCUAGCUGGUCUGAGAGGAUGAUCAGCCACACUGGAACUGAGACACGGUCCAG
This 312-nucleotide ribosomal RNA is filed under the name uncultured Vibrio sp. RNAcentral's name for it is "bacterial SSU rRNA". It matches the Rfam family "Bacterial small subunit ribosomal RNA", at positions 30 to 334 of the family's 1533-position model. Lineage: Bacteria; Pseudomonadati; Pseudomonadota; Gammaproteobacteria; Vibrionales; Vibrionaceae. The record is from RNAcentral.